RNAcentral lists this transfer RNA (92 nucleotides) under Sphaerodactylus townsendi. Its description in RNAcentral is "tRNA-Pro". The stretch from base 8 to 64 matches the Rfam family "tRNA". From Rfam's summary of the family: Transfer RNA (tRNA) molecules are approximately 80 nucleotides in length. Lineage: Eukaryota; Metazoa; Chordata; Lepidosauria; Squamata; Sphaerodactylidae. The record is from RNAcentral.
AGCAUCACAUAUUUUGGCUCAGCGGUAGAGCAUCUGCUUUGGAUGCAGAAGGUUCCAGGUCUGUCAUGGCCAACCCCUGUUUGAUCCUGCCA